CCGAGUAGAGGGAGGCGAACGGGCGGGAGGGACGCUCAGGCUUUUGUGGCGCAGCCGCUUCUCGCAUCUCCGGCCCCAGCCGGCCGCCCGCGGCCCUGCAGCGUCUCCAGGCCGGGCUGCGCGCCUCGGCGCACGCCCCCUCCCACUCGCACAUAUUCUCGGCCACCUCCAGGCACCCUGAUCCAGCUGCCUCCCCCACUUCGGCCAAGAUACCUUCUACACCCCCCUCGGGCCCGUCCAGCCGCUGCCCCGCCCCGAUCGGCCCUCACCGUUUAGGCAAGAGACCGCUCGCAGUCGGGCCGGGCCGAUUCUACUUGGGGAACUCACGGCGCGUGCACCUCUGGCCACCUCUGAAGAGGCGCCCCAGGUGACUGCACACCGGACUGCAGUGUCCAGCCCAGAGCCGCUGGGAGCUGGAGGGGAGGAUGUGGGAACCUGCAGUCCCAGUCCUCCCUGGGGUGGCGUGUGCGGCUCUCACUCCCACCUCCGCGGUCGGCACUGCCUCAAGGCCGAGGCGUCUGUAUGGCUUCGCUGCUGGCCGUCUGCCCUGCGCUCCUGCGCCACCACCACCGCCUGGGUUUGGAAAUGCCCGGAGGGCACAGAGUUGAUGCCUUCUUCGGAAUUUGGGGGAGUCGAUACUGGAUGAACCGCCUCUGGCAUAAGCGGAACCUCACUGCCAUCUUAGGAAGGGACACAUGGGAGCCAGCUGGUGGCACAGCGCAGUUGGCGACAAGGUAGCCCUGGUGGCCUGCGGCUUUACUCGGGAGGUGCCUGGAGGGCCCGAAGGCUAGGCGGUCAGCGAUGGCCUUGGGGAAUUCAGCACCCGAAGUACCCCCAUCCCUAUUUCCCUGUCACGAUCUUUCACCCCUCCCUCACCCGGACUGGCAGAAGAGGGCGUCUGCCGACCAGGCCUGAGGGGUUAGGGGUUACCAAUGGGGGGCACUAGGGAGUUUCAAGAGGGGCCGGCUGUGCUGCCGCCUGAGAGCCCACCAACAGGUGUCUCCUCCUUUGGAGCCACUUGGGUGGAGGGAAGGAGUACGGUGGC
This 1045-nucleotide long non-coding RNA is filed under the name Ictidomys tridecemlineatus (thirteen-lined ground squirrel). RNAcentral's name for it is "lncRNA (ENSSTOG00000032375.1)". The record is from RNAcentral. Lineage: Eukaryota; Metazoa; Chordata; Mammalia; Rodentia; Sciuridae.